ACGCUCGACACCUACGGGAGACAGCAGUGGGGAAUAUUGCACAAUGGGGGAAACCCUGAUGCAGCGACGCCGCGUGAGCGAAGAAGUAUUUCGGUAUGUAAAGCUCUAUCAGCAGGGAAGAAACUGACGGUACCUGACUAAGAAGCACCGGCUAAAUACGUGCCAGCAGCAGCGGUAAUCUGAGCGGGCUGGCAAGGC
Molecule: ribosomal RNA, 198 nt
Filed under: uncultured bacterium
Lineage: Bacteria
Description: partial 16S ribosomal RNA
Rfam family: Bacterial small subunit ribosomal RNA
Source: RNAcentral